Molecule: ribosomal RNA, 238 nt
Filed under: uncultured bacterium
Lineage: Bacteria
Description: partial 16S ribosomal RNA
Rfam family: Bacterial small subunit ribosomal RNA
Source: RNAcentral
CGGCGAACGGGUGAGUAACACGUGAGCAACCUGCCCCGAAGACUGGGAUAACACCGGGAAACCGGUGCUAAUACCGGAUACCCCCACCAGGCCGCAUGACCAGGUGAGGAAAUGAAUUUCGCUUCGGGAGGGGCUCGCGGGCUAUCAGCUUGUUAGUGGGGUAACGGCCUACCAAGGCGACGACGGCUAGCUGGUCUGAGAGGACGACCAGCCACACUGGGACUGAGACACGGCCCAG